ACCUACUAUCCCCAUGGAGCCCAGUUGGGCCUGGGAGUCUGCUGUUUGUACAGCCGGUGGGCUCGUGUUGCUUUGGGCAUCCCUGUGCCUGAAUUCCUGCAGUACACUCGGUGUGCAUUCCAUGGUGCAUCCUCACCUAGAAUUGAGUGGAAGCAAGUCCAUUUCAGAAGGGACAUAACUGAAGAGGAAUGGCUUUCCAGACUCUGAAGGGCAGAGAAACACCAGCCUGGGUUAGAGAAAGAGAACAGCAUCUCUGAGCCCGUCCUGGGUGACCUCACAGAGAUCACCCUAGUGGCCCAGGCUAGUGACCGGGAACAUGUACCUUCCUGCAGCCAACCCCAGACGUCCACUGAUGCAUCAUAUACUGGCAAAUAUGUGAGUUCAUGUG
This is a long non-coding RNA of Camelus dromedarius (Arabian camel), 388 nucleotides long. RefSeq lists it as uncharacterized. The record is from RefSeq and is a predicted model, not a curated record. The transcript has 3 exons. NCBI's taxonomy places the organism in Eukaryota, Metazoa, Chordata, Mammalia, Artiodactyla, Camelidae.